UUUGUUUCUCUGAAAUUGUUUAGGAGUGUUUGGCGACGGCUUCCCUCUCUCUCCCGCGGUCGGUCUGCCGCUUCGGUUCACAUCUUUCUUCCCCAACUCACCUCUGCUCUACUGAGCACUUGGGUGCGGUACGCAAGGAUCCCUUUGGCUGGAUUGGAGAGUGCCUGUAGCAUUACGACGCCUGCGUACGUGCACUCGUGUGAGCGGCGACAAUGCAGCAACAGUUCAACGCAGCGCGAAACGGUACCAAUCACGUGGUCGAGGACGCCGUGAGCGCGGUACUUAGCAGUGCGGCAGUGGAGCGACGGCCCAACCCUCACGCCAUUGGGUUUGUACGGUCGAACUCGUACGCACUAAGCACCCGGGACACAACGUACGCUGUCCCUGAUUUUUUCCCGGUAGGUGGCGUGGCAUGGCCAGAGACGCUGUUGGAGCUGUGGAAGUCGAUGCGCUACGGAUCCCUCACCGGCGUGUUUGCCGACUUGUCCCGUGCGUGGUUCACUGUAGACAACAGGCUCGUCAUCUGGGACUACCGUGGCGGUCGCGAGUUCUGUGUCUACGAUGAGAUUUCGGAGAUGAUCAGCGUUGUCGGCUCUCCGCUUCGGCCGCUGAGUGGCAUCUUCCAGCCGCACGUAACAUACAUCAUUCCUGUGGGCACCACCAGCAUGAUGUUUCUCUUGGGUCUUUGCAUCCUGGGCGAGGGAGCGCUGGCGGAAAUGAAGGUUGUCAAUCUGGGGUACAGCUGCUCCACUGACACCGUGAUAACGAAGGCGAUCGGCAGCAGCGGCCGCGUGUUCUGCGCAGGUGCGGACGGAAAUGUGUAUGAGUUGCGCUACAUGCGUGAGAAUACCCCCAUCACGCCCAAGAUACGCAUGGUGAAUUACGGCUAUUGGUUCUCGAGCGCCCCCAUCCUCGGCCAGGUGACAUUGGCUGUUGCGAAUGUGUGGCAGUCGUGGCGAGGUAGCGGACAUGGUGGGCUCAUUGAUCUCGUCGUGGACGAGCGUGACGGCAUCUUGGCUACGUUAUGUGAACGCAGCACGAUUAGUCUGUGGCGCCUGAACCCCAGUGGUGGCAUAAGGUACAUGUUCUCUCUUCGCCAUCGGCCCGAUCGACUGCCGCGCUCUCACUCCGCCCCUCAUGUUGAAUCAGCGCCACUGACGCGGUUGUUUGUGAUAGAAGCAGAUGCGCAAGGGUGCCGGCUUAUGUCCACCGCCCUCAAUGGGGAUCAGUUUCGCUAUCGCUACAUCAACGCAUUCGAUUCUGUCUUCAGCGGUGAGCUCAUUCUGCAAUCGCACACGCCUUCGUACUUGUCGGCAAACAAAGAAAUCAGUGUCUGCUACGCUUCCGCGUCAGUCUUCUUGGCUGCCUUCAGCGACAUGAACGACGACCGAGCCUCCGAUGAAGUGCUUGCCGCCACCUCCCCUGCCACGGUGAUGGCGCCGCAUCAAAAUGUGCGGGACAUCGUGGCAUCCUUCAGUGGUCCAUCCUCGCGUAUUGUGCGAGUCGAUGCGAUCGAUCGGAUGCCGACGCAGGGCCCGCAAAACCUUUCUGACUUGUGCGCACAGGUUUGCUCACCCAGACCGACCUACGUCGUGGUGCAUCGCCAUGGCCUGUCACUCUUUGCUCAAGCCCGCCCUGUCGACACGCUGUACCUGAUUCUGUCGACAAACGAUGCGGACUACCGCGACAGUCUGCUCAGUCGCUUCACGUCCGUGUACAGCGCCCCCGACUACGCGGCGAUGCUCCUUCAGGUUGCCGUUGGCGCUUUGAACGUAACGACGGAGCACCCACUACCGUUCACGAAGGACUCGGCGCUUUCGAGCAGCCACGACGAUGGGGCGGCAUUGAAUGAGCUAGGCCAACAGCUGGUGAAUGGAAGAAACGCUGAAGUGCUGCGACGAGCACGCGAACUGCUGCGUAACCUACAGCUCCCUGCGACGCAAGCGGCGCCGGCGAGUGGCGUAACGGAUGCGGAGGUUCAACAUGUCGUCGUUCUCAUGUCGCCGUUUGCAACGGGGCUCGUCGCCUUUGUUGCCCGAGCGUUGUGUCUGCUGUGGAAUACGGGAGUGGGCAAGAUCACGCAGAGUAGCGCCACCUCCGCGGUACGGGUACUCGAAAAGGUCAUCCAGUACUUGGACAGCCUGUCUAUUGGCAGAUCACCGGAGCACCAGCGGACGGUGAGCUUUCAGCACGAGUGGCAGGCGGACAAGGUUGUCGUGAUGGUGCCGCGCGGCCGGAGCUUGCGCGCCGAGGACGUAAAGAAGCUACAGGGGGCCAUGCUGUACAAGUGCUAUGAACUGACGCACAAGGCGUGGCAGGCGGCGACACUGCUGCAGCGUAUGCUUGGCAUCCCGUUUUACUCUGAAGACGCAUCGGUGGCGUUUGCGCAGGUGGUGCGAGACUCGGCGGUCGCGCAGCGGCUUGGACAUUAUCUGAGUCAGGUGAUGCUAGACUCCCAGUAUGGCAUCAGCGCUGGAUCUGGACUCCAAGCAGCCUCGUUCGCGCAGCUGCAGCGACAGUGCCCGUACUUUUUCGGCGGCAUCAGCUCGGAUGCCUAUCAGCUUCAGAGCGACAUGAGAUCCUUGACACGUGGCGAGUCUCUUCAAUCCUACACGGAGGCACAGAUGCAUAAGUGGGCUACCGAGGUAGGCGCUAAGGCCGCGACGUACUGGCCAUCCGGCGCGCUUCAGAGCAUCUGCGAGCAGCUGCGGAGCCUGAAAUACGAGAAUGUGGCGGUGGAGCUGUUGCUGCACGCGGCGGCGCAGCUUGACCCGAACAAUGCGGCGCUGAGCGUUUUUUUGGCGGAUGGUGGCGGCCAUGUGGGCGACCAGGCGCGGUACGGCAACGCCUACUCGCUGCACCAGACCAAGACGCAGGUCCUGGAGCUUGUGGUUUCUACCCUGGAGUCGGCGUGGCUGACGCACCGGAGCGUGGUUGACGACCUCCUCGGCGGCCCGCGCCGUUCCGGCACCAUUUGGCAGGUUGAGCCGUCUGACGAGUACGCGCACUGCUUUCUCUUCGACUGGAUGUGCGCCCCGCGCGACGACAGGAAUACGGCCAAAUUGCUGCGAGAAACGCUUGUAGCGGCGCGCUCCCAGUUUCUCGGCAGCUAUCUGCGACGCAAUGCCGAGGUGCUGACUGAGGAGUAUGCGCACUACCUCGCCAGUGUGCAGGGUGACUACCAUGGCGCGAUGCAGCAGUGCUUCGUGAUGGCCCUGUCGCCGCUUCCCGACACGCCGGUUGCCGACCGGCUUCAGUAUCGCCUCCGGUGCCUGCGCGAGGCUCUCGACUGUGCCAAGAAGUGUCAAUCCGACCAAACGCAGCAGGUGGAGCAGCAGUUGCGAUUGAUGGAGGCGCAGGAGCGACUAUACCGCAUUGCCACCGAGUUCAUCUCUUCCGGCAGUGCCACUCUCGACCGUCGUGUAGAAUGGGAGGGCGAAAUGGUGACGGAGCGUGAUGUCGCCCUGCAGCACAUCGAGUUCUUGUCUAGCUUUGUCGCCUCCGCAAGCGACCUCAUAGAGGUGGGCGGCAUGUAUCCGGCACUGGGUGGCGCAGAGGUGCAGCUGGAUGCGCUGCUUUGCUCCAACGUCACGGAUGCUGGCGUCUAUGCCACCUGCAUCGGCCGUGCCUAUGACAACGAGAAGGACUCGGCGGAGACCAUUACGAAGAGGCUCAUCGACAGGUACUUUCACCAAAUCAGCUGCUUUCCGCUGUCAUACCUGGUGCGGCUGCUAGAGGCUCGCACGUUUCUGCGCUUCCCGGCAGGUUCGACGGAAGUGGUGCAGCUGCUGGUGAGUCUUGGGGUUGACCCAAAGGUUCUCUUCAUCACAUACGAGAGCGUCCUUGAGGGGAGGGACGACACAGGUGUGGGGUGUGUGGAGUUUGACGAGGCCGGUGUGACGCGCGGCUAUCUUGUUUACGCAUACGCCACAGUGCUGGUGUAUCUCGCGGACCUCGGCCGGCGCGGCUCUGUGCAGCAGUGGCUCGUCAGCAACGCCAUGGCCGCCACACGCAGCAUGAUUCGCCGCGCUGCGGGAGCUGUCACAUCGCCAAGUGAGCAGGCGGCGGUGGAGCAGGCGGAGGAGCUGCUGCGAAAAGCCAACACGCUAGCCUCAAGCGGCGUGUGGCUGUAGCGAGCCACCAGGUAGCGGCGCUGUCCGUGAAUAAACUGCUUCUUCAAGGCGUGGAUUUGCCGCGCUUGCUGGCAUUCAGAAAAAGGGACGGAAAGGUGGUGGUUCACUCUCUAGAUUGGUAAUGGAGUGGUAACGUGUGGUGUUUCUCUUCUCGUCUUGUUUUUGUUUUCCUUUGUCGAGAGGGCUCUCCCGCCGUCGAUCGGAAUGGCUGCGGCUGGUUUUGCUCAGCCGACACAACCUCAUUGAAUACGCGCAAGACUCAAGAGCAUGAGAAAUAGCUACUGUGAAAGCGUGAGACUGUGGCUGGCUCAUCGGCCCUGCGGCUAACUUGAAGGAGAAUAAUUCUCUGGGAUAUGCGUGCUCUGUUUUUUUCUUGUUUUCGGUUUAU
Molecule: unclassified non-coding RNA, 4521 nt
Filed under: Leishmania donovani
Lineage: Eukaryota; Euglenozoa; Kinetoplastea; Trypanosomatida; Trypanosomatidae
Description: gene:LdHU3.36.9600(CDS-product:nuclear_pore_compl ex_protein_(NUP155)_putative)
Source: RNAcentral